UUAAUUAUUAUAUUAAUGAAUUACAGUUUUUAAUGGAUUAAUUCUGGCCCUUGAUGGAUUUCAAUCCAAAGGCCAGAAAUUAAUGUUUUGUUAAUCUUUGUAUCUUUUUCUCAUUGGUCAAUCUCUCAAACACAAGGAUAGCUAUCUUAACCAUUGAUUAUUUUUGAUCCUAUGGUUAGCAAUCACAGAUCUCACAUCUCUAUCUCUUCCUUCUCUUCUUCUUUCACUCUCUCUCUCUCUCUCUCUCUCUCUCUCUCUCUCUCUCUCUCUCUCUCUCUCUCUCUCUCUCUCUCUCUCUUUUCUUGGUUUUGGAUCUAAAACUAAUCUCUUCUAAUUCUUCUUUAAUCCUUUGAAUCUCUAUCUUCUUCAAUCAUCACCACAAACACACGACCUCCCCACCGUCCCAGCAUCACAACCACCACCACAUGGCCUCCAUUCGUUCUCUGUCCCAACACCACCACCACCACACCUGACCUCCGUUCGUUCGUCGUCCCAGCAUCACCACCACCACCACACCUCCAUGGAAUGGAGGAGGCAAGGCGAAGAAGCUGUUGUGUGGAGAUGGCAGAGGAAGCUCGUGGUGGAGGUGGAGGUGGAUCCGGGAAAGAAGAAGAGAGACAGAGACGCGAGGAGGAGGCGAAGACGAAUGGAGGAGGAGGAAGACGACGGGAUGUACAUGGCGGUGAGAUGGUGGUCCGCCAGUGUGGAUUGCAAGAUGAAGAAGACGAUGAAGAUGGUGGUGGAGAGGCAGCUGCAUAGGUUUAGUUAGUCAUCAAUUAGGUUUAAACUUGGUUUAGGUUUAAGCAUGGUUUAAGUUAUUGGUUUAUUUGGUUUUGUCUUUUUUCAUUUAAUUAGAGUUUUUAUAUUUUUGUAAACCAAUUUAAUUAUAAAUUAUUUAAUAUAAUAAAAAAUUAAAUA
Raphanus sativus (radish) is the source of this 918-nucleotide long non-coding RNA. RefSeq lists it as uncharacterized. The record is from RefSeq and is a predicted model, not a curated record. Lineage: Eukaryota; Viridiplantae; Streptophyta; Magnoliopsida; Brassicales; Brassicaceae. The transcript is spliced from 2 exons.